RNAcentral lists this long non-coding RNA (294 nucleotides) under Lathyrus oleraceus (garden pea). RNAcentral's name for it is "Pisum sativum (pea) long non-coding RNA (PSAT_LNC042120)". The record is from RNAcentral. Lineage: Eukaryota; Viridiplantae; Streptophyta; Magnoliopsida; Fabales; Fabaceae.
GUUUAAGAUGGGUGUUGGAUGCACUUGAGAGUGUCGAGGUUUCGCUCAUGGAUUCAAGGAGAGGAUUCAAAGGAGGGUCUAAGGUGUCCACAAUUGGGAGGAAGAAGAAACGAAUGAGGGAGAUGAAGCGGAUGUUUUGGCUUCUGUGUUGUCUGAUUCAUCUAUUGUAUUAGCGUUUUACAGCUUCAACAAUAUUUAAUGACAAUAUUCAAAUUUAAUGGACUUUUAAGAAAUAGUGAGUCCCAAGGAAGCGCAUGCAUUUGUCGCGUGUGGGAGCCCAAACGGUCAUUGAGC